RNAcentral lists this ribosomal RNA (497 nucleotides) under uncultured bacterium. Its description in RNAcentral is "partial 16S ribosomal RNA". It matches the Rfam family "Bacterial small subunit ribosomal RNA", at positions 28 to 507 of the family's 1533-position model. The record is from RNAcentral.
GAUGAACGCUGGCGGCGUGCCUAAUACAUGCAAGUCGAGCGAACGGACGAGAAGCUUGCUUCUCUGAUGUUAGCGGCGGACGGGUGAGUAACACGUGCAUAACCUACCUAUAAGACUGGGAUAACUUCGGGAAACCGGAUAUAACACCGGAUAAUAUUUUGAACCGCAUGGAUCAAAAGUGAAAGACGGUCUUGCUGUCACUUAUAGAUGGAUCCUCGCUGCAUUAGCUAGUUGGUAAGGUAACGGCUUACCAAGGCGACGAUGCGUAGCCGACCUGAGAGGGUGAUCAGCCACACUGGAACUGAGACACGGUCCAGACUCCUACGGGAGGCAGCAGUGGGGAAUCUUCCACAAUGGGCGCAAGCCUGAUGGAGCCACGCCGCGUGAGUGAUGAAGGUCUUCGGAUCGUAAAGCUCUGUUAGUAGGGAAGAACAUAUGUGUAAGUAACUGUGCACAACUUGACGGUACCUAAACAGAAAGCCACGGCUAACUACGUG